GAGACACUCUUCUAGGGCAAGACUUGCUUCAAUGGGGCUUUGGUGGUCACUGAGUCUGCCCCCUGAGUGUGUCCCU
RNAcentral lists this microRNA precursor (76 nucleotides) under Myotis lucifugus (little brown bat). Its description in RNAcentral is "mir-9229 microRNA precursor family". It matches the Rfam family "mir-9229 microRNA precursor family". The record is from Rfam by way of RNAcentral. Lineage: Eukaryota; Metazoa; Chordata; Mammalia; Chiroptera; Vespertilionidae.